RNAcentral lists this ribosomal RNA (445 nucleotides) under uncultured bacterium. RNAcentral's name for it is "partial 16S ribosomal RNA". It matches the Rfam family "Bacterial small subunit ribosomal RNA", at positions 354 to 796 of the family's 1533-position model. The record is from RNAcentral.
GUGAGGAAUAUUGGUCAAUGGGCGGGAGCCUGAACCAGCCAAGUCGCGUGAAGGAAGAAGGAUCUAUGGUUCGUAAACUUCUUUUGCAGGGGAAUAAAGUGCAGGACGUGUCCUGUUUUGUAUGUACCCUGAGAAUAAGGAUCGGCUAACUCCGUGCCAGCAGCCGCGGUAAUACGGAGGAUCCGAGCGUUAUCCGGAUUUAUUGGGUUUAAAGGGUGCGUAGGUGGUUUGAUAAGUCAGCGGUGAAAGUUUGCAGCUUAACUGUAAAAAUGCCGUUGAAACUGUCGGACUUGAAUGUAAAGGAGGUAGGCGGAAUGCGUGGUGUAGCGGUGAAAUGCAUAGAUAUCACGCAGAACUCCGAUUGCGAAGGCAGCUUACUAAGCUACAACUGACACUGAAGCACGAAAGCGUGGGGAUCAAACAGGAUUAGAAACCCGGGUAGUCC